GGACGAACGCUGGCGGCGUGCUUAACACAUGCAAGUCGAACGGAAAGGCCCUGCUUUUGUGGGGUGCUCGCGUGGCUAACGGGUGAGUAACACGUGAGUAACCUGCCCUUGACUUUGGGAUAACUUCAGGAAACUUGGGCUAAUACCGGAUAGGAUCUCCUGCUGCAUGGUGGGGGUUGGUACGUUUCGGCGGUUGGGUAUGGACUCGCGGCUUAUCAGCUUGUUGGUGGGGUAGUGGCUUACCAAGUCUUUGACGGGUAGCCGGCCUGAGAGGGUGACCGGCCACAUUGGGACUGAGAUACGGCCCAGACUCCUACGGGAGGCAGAAGUGGGGAAUAUUGCACAAUGGGCGGAAGCCUGAUGCAGCAACGCAGCGUGCGGGAUGAAGGCCUUCGGGUUGUAAACCGCUUUCGCCUGUGACGAAGCGUGAGUGACGGUAAUGGGUAAAGAAGCACCGGCUAACUACGUG
This 469-nucleotide ribosomal RNA is filed under the name uncultured bacterium. RNAcentral describes it as "partial 16S ribosomal RNA". It matches the Rfam family "Bacterial small subunit ribosomal RNA", at positions 27 to 507 of the family's 1533-position model. The record is from RNAcentral.